Small nuclear RNA from Manis pentadactyla (Chinese pangolin), 104 nucleotides. The record is from RefSeq and is a predicted model, not a curated record. Lineage: Eukaryota; Metazoa; Chordata; Mammalia; Pholidota; Manidae.
GUUCUCUUCAACAGCUCAUAUACUAAAAUAGGAACGAUACAGAAAAGAUAGAAUGGUCCCCCUACAAGGAUGACAUGCAAAUUUGUGAAGCAUUCCAUAUUAAG